This 401-nucleotide unclassified non-coding RNA is filed under the name soil metagenome. Its description in RNAcentral is "partial contains 5.8S ribosomal RNA, internal transcribed spacer 2, and large subunit ribosomal RNA". The stretch from base 1 to 121 matches the Rfam family "5.8S ribosomal RNA", at positions 35 to 154 of the family's 154-position model. The record is from RNAcentral.
GAUGAAGAACGUAGCGAAAUGCGAUAAGUAAUGUGAAUUGCAGAAUUCAGUGAAUCAUCGAAUCUUUGAACGCACCUUGCGCCCCUUGGUUAUUCCAAAGGGCAUGCCUGUUUGAGUAUCAUGAGCACCUCAACUCUUGUGGUUUCCCACAAUGAGCUUGGACUGUGGAGGUUUUGUUGGCCCUGUGGUCAGCUCCUCUCAAAUGGAUCAGCUUACCGGUGUUUGGUGGCAUUACGGGUGUGAUAACUAUCUACGCUCGUGGUCGUCUCCAAAUAACCUCCAGUGAUGGAGGUUCGCUGGAGCUUAUAAAUGUCUCUCCCCAGUGAAGACAGCCUUUGAACGUUCGAUCUCAAAUCAGGUAGGACUACCCGCUGAACUUAAGCAUAUCAAUAAGCGGAGGA